RNAcentral lists this transfer RNA (85 nucleotides) under Actinomadura coerulea. Its description in RNAcentral is "tRNA-Ser". It matches the Rfam family "tRNA". Rfam says of the family: Transfer RNA (tRNA) molecules are approximately 80 nucleotides in length. Their secondary structure includes four short double-helical elements and three loops (D, anti-codon, and T loops). Further hydrogen bonds mediate the characteristic L-shaped molecular structure. tRNAs have two regions of fundamental functional importance: the anti-codon, which is responsible for specific mRNA codon recognition, and the 3' end, to which the tRNAs corresponding amino acid is attached (by aminoacyl-tRNA synthetases). tRNAs cope with the degeneracy of the genetic code in two manners: having more than one tRNA (with a specific anti-codon) for a particular amino acid; and 'wobble' base-pairing, i.e. permitting non-standard base-pairing at the 3rd anti-codon position. RNAcentral also lists the same sequence under 1 other name. The record is from RNAcentral. Lineage: Bacteria; Bacillati; Actinomycetota; Actinomycetes; Streptosporangiales; Thermomonosporaceae.
GGAUGUAUGGCAGAGAGGUUUAUUGCGUAAUAUUUGAGCUAUUAAAACUUAUUGAAGUUCACGUGUUCGAAUCACGUUACAUCCG